Paramacrobiotus metropolitanus is the source of this 153-nucleotide ribosomal RNA. RefSeq annotates it as 5.8S ribosomal RNA. The transcript has a single exon. The record is from RefSeq and is a predicted model, not a curated record. Lineage: Eukaryota; Metazoa; Tardigrada; Eutardigrada; Parachela; Macrobiotidae.
CACUCUGUGCGGUGGAUCAUUCGGCUCGUGGGUCGAUGAAGAACGCAGCAAAAUGCGAGACGCGACGUGAAUUGCAGGACUUUGUGAACGUCGGAUCUUCGAACGCACAUUGCGGCUUCGGGCUAACUGGAAGCCACGCCUGGUUGAGGGUCA